This is an RNA transcript of Zea mays, 573 nucleotides long. It is a transcript of the gene named 40S ribosomal protein S24 pseudogene, with no coding region annotated. The transcript has 2 exons. Lineage: Eukaryota; Viridiplantae; Streptophyta; Magnoliopsida; Poales; Poaceae. The record is from RefSeq and is marked validated.
CACGGUCGCUCACACGAGGAUCCGCCCGCCACGCCUCUCUCCACCCCACCCGCCUGUCAUCCCCGACACAAGAGAUCUAUCCAACGACUAGCUGUUCGAUGAAGCAAGGCAUCCAGCCGAUGCGGCCGAUCUUGGAGGCGAUGGCCAGGCAGUGCAUGGUUUUUGGUGUGCGGCGGGGUCGAACUCCCCCUCGCGCUCCAUCCCGGUGUCAGCCCCUCACCUCAGUCGCCCGCGACGUCGUGCGACCACCUCCAAGAACUGGGGUGGUACACCAUUGAGGCGCAAAUCUCUGCCUCUCCUCCCUCUAUCUUGUAGGUGCUUGAGGUGAUCCACCUCGACCAUGCCAAUGUCUCCAAGGCGGAGUUGAAGGAGAGGCUUGCCAAGAUGUACAAGGUGAAGGACCCCAACACCAUCUUUGUCUUCAAGUUCCGCACCAGUUCCACUGGCUCUGGCCUCAUCUACGACAACCUCUACUCCAAGAAGUUCGAGCCCAAAUACUGCCUCAUGAGGGUAUGUUGUCGUCUAGCCCUUCCUUCUGUUGCAUGCAGAUACAAUGUUUUGAUAGUUCGGUAG